AACACUGUUAACCUGCGGUACCUGCGGAAGGAUCAUUACUGAGUUCCACUGGACUCCCACCCUGUGUGAUUCGACUCGCGAACCACUUGUUGCCUCGGCAGAAGACAGUGGUUGAGCCUGCCCCCAGUGGUGCGGGCUCCCAUUAGCUGCCGGGCGAGCAAAAACUCUUUUUGUAAUUGUUGGCAUCUCUGAGUAGCUUUUGCAAUAAGUCAAAACUUUUAACAAUGGAUCUCAGAUCGG
RNAcentral lists this unclassified non-coding RNA (240 nucleotides) under soil metagenome. RNAcentral's name for it is "partial contains 5.8S ribosomal RNA, internal transcribed spacer 2, and large subunit ribosomal RNA". The record is from RNAcentral.